CGACCCCAGGUCAGGCGGGGUUACCCGCUGAGUUUAAGCAU
This 41-nucleotide ribosomal RNA is filed under the name Prunus cornuta. Its description in RNAcentral is "partial 26S ribosomal RNA". Lineage: Eukaryota; Viridiplantae; Streptophyta; Magnoliopsida; Rosales; Rosaceae. The record is from RNAcentral.